Molecule: non-coding RNA, 106 nt
Organism: Araneus ventricosus
Lineage: Eukaryota; Metazoa; Arthropoda; Arachnida; Araneae; Araneidae
Source: the annotation of a GenBank genome assembly
GCCACCAUAGCUCAGUGGUUAGAGCACUGGUCUUGAGUCGCGAGUCCUGGUUUACAAGACCAGUGCACUGGUCUCUGGCUCGCGAGUUCAAUCCUCACUGGUGGCU